CAGCCGCCGCGGUAAUACCGGCGGCCCGAGUGGCGGUCACUAUUAUUGGGCUUAAAGCGUCCGUAGCCGGGGUGGGAAGGCCUCCGGGAAAUCUGGCCGCUUAACGGUCAGAAUGCCGGAGGAUACUCCCAGCCUAGGGAGCGGGAGAGGCCGAGGGGAUUCCCGGAGUAGGGGUGAAAACCUAUAAUCCCGGGAGGACCACCUGUGGCGAAGGCGCUCGGCUGGAACGCGUCCGACGGUGAGGGACGAAGGCCAGGGGAGCAAACCGGAUUAGAUACCCGGGUAGUCCUGGCUGUAAACGAUGCGGACUUUGUGUCGGACAAGCUAUGAGCUUGUCCGGUGCCGGAGGGAAACCGUUAAGUCCGCCGCCUGGGGAGUACGGCCGCAAGGCUGAAACUUAAAGGAAUUGGCGGG
This 414-nucleotide ribosomal RNA is filed under the name uncultured microorganism. RNAcentral's name for it is "bacterial SSU rRNA". It matches the Rfam family "Archaeal small subunit ribosomal RNA", at positions 459 to 872 of the family's 1478-position model. The record is from RNAcentral.